GGGGGCGUAGCUCAGACGGUAGAGCGCUCACUUAGCAUGCGAGAGGUACCGGGAUGGAUACCCGGCGCCUCCA
RNAcentral lists this transfer RNA (73 nucleotides) under Araneus ventricosus. It matches the Rfam family "tRNA". From Rfam's summary of the family: Transfer RNA (tRNA) molecules are approximately 80 nucleotides in length. The record is from Rfam by way of RNAcentral. Lineage: Eukaryota; Metazoa; Arthropoda; Arachnida; Araneae; Araneidae.